Molecule: ribosomal RNA, 425 nt
Filed under: uncultured bacterium
Lineage: Bacteria
Description: partial 16S ribosomal RNA
Rfam family: Bacterial small subunit ribosomal RNA
Source: RNAcentral
GUUAGGAAUAUUGGACAAUGGGCGCAAGCCUGAUCCAGCCAUGCCGCGUGAACGAUGAAGGCCUUCGGGUUGUAAAGUUCUUUAGCCGAUGAUUAUAAUGACUGUAGUCGGAAAAUAAGCCCCGGCUAACUUCGUGCCAGCAGCCGCGGUAAUACGAAGAGGGCGAGCGUUAUUCGGAAUCACUGGGCGUAAAGCGUGCGUAGGCGGUCUCGUAAGUUAGGAGUGAAAGCCCAGGGCUCAACCUUGGAAUUGCUCUUAAUACUGCAAGGCGAGAAUCUCGAAGAGGAUAGCGGAAUUUCCAGUGUAGCAGUGAAAUGCGUAGAUAUUGGAAGGAACAGCAGUGGCGUAAGCGGCUAUCUGGACGAGUAUUGACGCUGAGGCACGAAAGCGUGGGGAUCAAACAGGAUUAGAAACCCCAGUAGUCC